Molecule: non-coding RNA, 113 nt
Organism: Acanthosepion pharaonis
Lineage: Eukaryota; Metazoa; Mollusca; Cephalopoda; Sepiida; Sepiidae
Source: the annotation of a GenBank genome assembly
UUACGGCCAUAGCAUGUUGAAACACCGGUUCUCGUUCGAUAACCCAAGUUAAGCAACGUUGAGCUUGGUCAGAACCUAGAUUGGUGACUGCUUUGGAAUACCAAGUGCUGUAG